UGAGCAUUUCCUUUUCCUCUCCUGGUACUA
Molecule: non-coding RNA, 30 nt
Filed under: Mus musculus (house mouse)
Lineage: Eukaryota; Metazoa; Chordata; Mammalia; Rodentia; Muridae
Source: RNAcentral